UGCAAGUCGAACGCUUUUUCUUUCACCGGAGCUUGCUCCACCGAAAGAAAAAGAGUGGCGAACGGGUGAGUAACACGUGGGUAACCUGCCCAUCAGAAGGGGAUAACACUUGGAAACAGGUGCUAAUACCGUAUAACACUAUUUUCCGCAUGGAAGAAAGUUGAAAGGCGCUUUUGCGUCACUGAUGGAUGGACCCGCGGUGCAUUAGCUAGUUGGUGAGGUAACGGCUCACCAAGGCAACGAUGCAUAGCCGACCUGAGAGGGUGAUCGGCCACACUGGGACUGAGACACGGCCCAGACUCCUACGGGAGGCAGCAGUAGGGAAUCUUCGGCAAUGGACGAAAGUCUGACCGAGCAACGCCGCGUGAGUGAAGAAGGUUUUCGGAUCGUAAAACUCUGUUGUUAGAGAAGAACAAGGAUGAGAGUAAAAUGUUCAUCCCUUGACGGUAUCUAACCAGAAAGCCACGGCUAACUACGUGCCAGCAGCCGCGGUAAUACGUAGGUGGCAAGCGUUGUCCGGAUUUAUUGGGCGUAAAGCGAGCGCAGGCGGUUUCUUAAGUCUGAUGUGAAAGCCCCCGGCUCAACCGGGGAGGGUCAUUGGAAACUGGGAGACUUGAGUGCAGAAGAGGAGAGUGGAAUUCCAUGUGUAGCGGUGAAAUGCGUAGAUAUAUGGAGGAACACCAGUGGCGAAGGCGGCUCUCUGGUCUGUAACUGACGCUGAGGCUCGAAAGCGUGGGGAGCGAACAGGAUUAGAUACCCUGGUAGUCCACGCCGUAAACGAUGAGUGCUAAGUGUUGGAGGGUUUCCGCCCUUCAGUGCUGCAGCAAACGCAUUAAGCACUCCGCCUGGGGAGUACGACCGCAAGGUUGAAACUCAAAGGAAUUGACGGGGGCCCGCACAAGCGGUGGAGCAUGUGGUUUAAUUCGAAGCAACGCGAAGAACCUUACCAGGUCUUGACAUCCUUUGACCACUCUAGAGAUAGAGCUUCCCCUUCGGGGGCAAAGUGACAGGUGGUGCAUGGUUGUCGUCAGCUCGUGUCGUGAGAUGUUGGGUUAAGUCCCGCAACGAGCGCAACCCUUAUUGUUAGUUGCCAUCAUUUAAGUUGGGCAC
RNAcentral lists this ribosomal RNA (1110 nucleotides) under Enterococcus sp. 759B5_12ASB. Its description in RNAcentral is "bacterial SSU rRNA". It matches the Rfam family "Bacterial small subunit ribosomal RNA", at positions 56 to 1138 of the family's 1533-position model. The record is from RNAcentral. Lineage: Bacteria; Bacillati; Bacillota; Bacilli; Lactobacillales; Enterococcaceae.